RNAcentral lists this ribosomal RNA (253 nucleotides) under uncultured bacterium. RNAcentral describes it as "partial 16S ribosomal RNA". It matches the Rfam family "Bacterial small subunit ribosomal RNA", at positions 524 to 776 of the family's 1533-position model. The record is from RNAcentral.
UACAGAGACGGCAAGCGUUGCUCGGAUUCAUUGGGCGUAAAGGGUGCGUAGGCGGUCCGUUAAGUCGGAUGUAAAAUCUCACAGCCUAACUGUGAUAGGUCAUUCGAAACUGGCGGGCUCGAGGACUGGAGAGGAGACUGGAAUGGUUGGUGUAGCGGUGAAAUGCGUAGAGAUCAACCAGAACACCGGUGGCGAAGGCGGGUCUCUGGACAGUUCCUGACGCUGAGGCACAAAAGCCAGGGGAGCAAACGGG